Molecule: ribosomal RNA, 525 nt
Filed under: uncultured bacterium
Lineage: Bacteria
Description: bacterial SSU rRNA
Rfam family: Bacterial small subunit ribosomal RNA
Source: RNAcentral
AAUAGAUACCCGGGUAGUCCUUGCCUUAAACUAUGUAUACUAGAUGUAGUCGGAUUCAACCCUGACUGUGUCGUAGCUAACGCGAUAAGUAUACCGCCGUGGGGAGUACGCUCGCAAGGGUGAAACUCAAAAGAAUUGACGGGGACCCGCACAAGCAGUGGAGCAUGUGGUUUAAUUCGAUGCAACGCGAAGAACCUUACCCAGGCUUGACAUGCAGAGGACAAUACCAGAAAUGGUAAAUCCCUUCGGGGCCUCUGCACAGGUGCUGCAUGGCUGUCGUCAGCUCGUGCCGUGAGGUGUUGGGUUAAGUCCCGCAACGAGCGCAACCCUUGUCAUUAGUUGCCAACACGUAAUGGUGGGAACUCUAAUGAGACUGCCUAGGUUAACUAGGAGGAAGGUGAGGAUGACGUCAAGUCCGCAUGGCCCUUAUGUCUGGGGCUACACACGUGCUACAAUGGUCGGUACAGAAGGCAGCGAAGCCGCGAGGCGAAGCAAAUCCGUAAAGCCGACCCCAGUUCAGAUUGU